AUGCAAAGGUGUUUAACCAAGGUGUGGGAUAUGUAUCAUGAGGAGAACCUUGGUAGAUUCCAAGACAAAGAGGCUCAUGAGAUAGAGAUUGAGAAACUGAAGAAGGAGCUGGAUUCUCUUGGCAAUCAGUACAGUCAGCUUGUGGAUGAUGUAUCCAAGCUGUUUGAUUACCAGGAUGGGCAGAGAUCCCAUGCCAUGGAUCUUACAAGCCAGGCAAUCAAUGAACUUAAGGAGAAGAAGCAUCAACUUGAGGAGCAGGCAAAGAUUGAGGUUCAAAUGGAGAAGCUUAAGCUGAAGAAAGAACAGAGGUGCAUCCUGCAGAGUCAACCUGAUAUCAUUCAAAACACCAGGGAGGCCAUGAAGGAGAUACAAGUGGAGAGGGACCUCCUUAAAGAAGAGAAGAAGAAGCUGAAGCAUGUCAUUUCUGAGCUACUCAAGGCUGGUCAUGGGUGCAAGGAAAAGUUGGACAAGAUCAAAGAAGUUGUCAUGGAGGAGUGA
Molecule: ribosomal RNA, 498 nt
Filed under: Triticum aestivum (bread wheat)
Lineage: Eukaryota; Viridiplantae; Streptophyta; Magnoliopsida; Poales; Poaceae
Description: partial small subunit ribosomal RNA
Source: RNAcentral